CCCCCCACGCCUCUCAUGGAAGCGCACCUUGGGGGGU
Molecule: non-coding RNA, 37 nt
Organism: Halomonadaceae bacterium T82-2
Lineage: Bacteria; Pseudomonadati; Pseudomonadota; Gammaproteobacteria; Oceanospirillales; Halomonadaceae
Source: Rfam